This 492-nucleotide ribosomal RNA is filed under the name uncultured bacterium. Its description in RNAcentral is "partial 16S ribosomal RNA". It matches the Rfam family "Bacterial small subunit ribosomal RNA", at positions 29 to 507 of the family's 1533-position model. The record is from RNAcentral.
AGUGAACGCUGGCGGUAGGCCUAACACAUGCAAGUCGAACGGCAGCACAGUAAGAGCUUGCUCUUACGGGUGGCGAGUGGCGGACGGGUGAGGAAUACAUCGGAAUCUACUUUUUCGUGGGGGAUAACGUAGGGAAACUUACGCUAAUACCGCAUACGACCUACGGGUGAAAGCAGGGGAUCUUCGGACCUCGCGCGAUUGAAUGAGCCGAUGUCGGAUUAGCUAGUUGGCGGGGUAAAGGCCCACCAAGGCGACGAUCCGUAGCUGGUCUGAGAGGAUGAUCAGCCACACUGGAACUGAGACACGGUCCAGACUCCUACGGGAGGCAGCAGUGGGGGAUAUUGGACAAUGGGCGCAAGCCUGAUCCAGCCAUACCGCGUGGGUGAAGAAGGCCUUCGGGUUGUAAAGCCCUUUUGUUGGGAAAGAAAAGCAGCAGGUUAAUACCCCGCUGUUCUGACGGUACCCAAAGAAUAAGCACCGGCUAACUUCGUG